Papaver somniferum (opium poppy) is the source of this 2268-nucleotide long non-coding RNA. RefSeq lists it as uncharacterized. The transcript has 4 exons. The record is from RefSeq and is a predicted model, not a curated record. NCBI's taxonomy places the organism in Eukaryota, Viridiplantae, Streptophyta, Magnoliopsida, Ranunculales, Papaveraceae.
UGAUGGUUUUUUUAUUCUUCUAGAGGUUUGCUUCUUUUUUUUUCUCAGUUUUUUUAUCAAUAUCAGUUAAGUUAAAUGGUGAUUUUUGAUCCGCAGUGCUGGUGUGCUGAUUUUUUCUUCUUCUAGGAUUUUUCUUUUUUUCCUCAGUUUUUUUUAUCAAUAUAUCAGUGCUGGUAUAUUUGUAUUAACGAUAGAUCAAUCUAUGUGAUUGUGUUGUGUAUUUAUAAAGGUGAUAAAUUUAAUAUUUUGUUAAUCCGUUUCUUGUGAUUGUAAUUUCUUUUUUAUAUUCUGAAUCUUUGUCGCCAUAAUAACAAUCAGGUUUUACAUUUUUACUGAUUACUGACUUUGUUUUGCAGUUUUUAUUUUGCAGUUGUUGGUGAUAUAUCAUCGGAAUGAAUGAUGAAAUGUAAUAUUUUGGUUCACUUUCUGGUAUUUUUUUAAGUGUAAUAAUCUUUGUUUUUUACUUUUUAUUUGUGGUUCCUAUAAUUUUAUUAGGAAACCAUUUUGUUUUUGGUUGUUUUUUAUGGGUUUUACUCUUUUUGUUGAUUUUAUAUUUUCUUUUAUUUUUAUUUUUAUUUUUAUCUACCGGAUCAUAGAAACUCUAUUAUUAGGAAACCAGUUUUUUUUUGUUCUUGUUUAGAGGUAGUAUUCUUUUAAAUUUUUUUUUGGCUUUAGUCGUACCAUGCACUGAAGAAUUAAACCAUAAUUCUGAGAUCAUCCUGGUAUCAAUGGAAGGAUGAUCUAUUUUUUACGAUUUCAUUUUUACAUCGACGGAUUCAUUCUUUGGAUUGUGGUGACUGGUGAGAUUUCUUAAAAAUGUUGCUAACAGGCGCAUGUCUAAUGAAGACGAAGUAGCCCGACUUUAGAGGAAACGCCAAGUAUCCUAUAUUAGCCCCAGUUAUCUGCACAUCUUUUUCAUUCCGGACCUUUUUCAUUCUGAGCAAAAGAUUAACUUUUAUGUAUUUAAAGUUUGUGCAAAAUGAUGAAGUAAGAAUAGCAAUGUAAGUCUAAGUUCAUGAGAAACGAAUUCGGAAAGAGCUAAAGGAACAAGAUAUUUUAAGUAAAGAGAAGAGCAAAUACGUCAAGAAAUGGAAAAAAUGUCCAUGAAAGACGGAAAGUGGAAGAGAGGUUGAUGCGUGAAAAUUAGCGAGAAAAGGAGAGGUUCCAGAGAGAAAAAGCUUGGACUUCCAUAAGAUUUAUGCAAAAGGAAUCAGAUAAGUUGGUGUGAUUCUUUUCAUGGCCAUUGCUUAUUCACGGUCCAGAAAAAGACAAUAUGCGGGAACAGAUUCAUAUUGAUACGAACCUUCCAGCAUUGUGAUAGUUAUCCUUUUUAUCAGAUGUCUAACGGAGGCGAUAUGAUGUGAUAUGGAUGACUUUUUAUGAGCAAGGUUUCUUCAGUCAGAUUAAAUACAAAACUUUGUAGUCAGAUUAAAUACAAAAGCUUAAUUGAUUAAAAGGUGUAGCAACAUGUGUGCCUGGAAUAGGCUUGUGAGCGGAUUCAUCUGAGCCAACGCCAACGCACAGCUCAACCAUUUUGAAGAAAAUCUAAAACAUAAAAUAUUAGAUUUAUAUGUUCAUGCAUUGAUGUACAUCUACACGUAAUAAUCACAUGAUGAAGCUACAAGAUUCGCGUAACAGAUUAGUAUCAUUAUCUACACGCAGUAAUCACAAAAAAAAAAGCAAAAAAUGGCUAAAACCAACAAAUUGACGACAAGAAGAACAUGGAAUAUUUAAAGAACAAAUGAAAAUGCAAAGGAUAUUUAUCUCUACCCUGAAGAACUUCACGUCAACAAAAAAAAAAACAUACAACACAAACAAGUAAACCAUAGGAGAAAGAGGUCAGAGGUGUGAUUCUUCUUCAAGAUAAGAAUGGUAUGGUUCUGGAAUAUUAUCGGGAGCUAAUUUGAUUCUUAGCUUUGUAUUAUUUUUUAGUUAUUAUUCAUGAAUUAUUGAAUUUUCUACAAUAACCUCUGAUUCAGGUAAGGCCUACUGCUUACUGCUUGAAAUUACAUACGUUUAUUAAAUAAAAUUAAAUAAAUAAAGUAUACUCAAUUCGAUAAUUUAUUGCAGCUGUUAUUGGGAAGUUGAAGCAUGCGUGAAUUGAGAUAAUUAAGGAACCGGUUGAGAACCAAGAGAAAUACGAAGAAGUCCUUACGAGAUGCAAUUACUAUGGUGGUGACUUUAUGGGAUGAAUGACCAAAGGAGGUAGUAAAAAUGGAGUGGUGGGAGCCUGGCAGGUGGUAAUACUGGUCCAAUAAUCGUCAUGGU